This 526-nucleotide ribosomal RNA is filed under the name uncultured Pseudomonadota bacterium. Its description in RNAcentral is "bacterial SSU rRNA". It matches the Rfam family "Bacterial small subunit ribosomal RNA", at positions 355 to 871 of the family's 1533-position model. The record is from RNAcentral. Lineage: Bacteria; Pseudomonadati; Pseudomonadota.
UCGGGAAUUUUGGGCAAUGGGGGAAACCCUGACCCAGCAACGCCGCGUGAGGGAUGAAGGCCUUCGGGUCGUAAACCUCUGUCAGGAGGGAAGAAGGUUCCCGGGGUGAACAAUCCCGGGGAAUUGACGGUACCUCCGGAGGAAGCGCCGGCUAACUCCGUGCCAGCAGCCGCGGUAAUACGGAGGGCGCAAGCGUUGUUCGGAAUCAUUGGGCGUAAAGCGCGUGUAGGCGGUCUGGUCAGUCGGGUGUGAAAGCCCGGAGCUCAACUCCGGAACUGCAUUCGAUACUGCCAGGCUAGAGUCCCGGAGAGGGUGGUGGAAUUCCCGGUGUAGAGGUGAAAUUCGUAGAUGUCGGGAGGAACACCAGCGGCGAAGGCGGCCACCUGGACGGUGACUGACGCUGAGACGCGAAAGCGUGGGGAGCAAACAGGAUUAGAUACCCUGGUAGUCCACGCUGUAAACGUUGGGUGCUAGGCGUCGGGGGUAUUGACCCCCUCGGUGCCGCAGCUAACGCAUUAAGCACCCG